This 452-nucleotide ribosomal RNA is filed under the name Trithigmostoma cucullulus. Its description in RNAcentral is "eukaryotic LSU rRNA". The stretch from base 94 to 247 matches the Rfam family "5.8S ribosomal RNA". The record is from RNAcentral. Lineage: Eukaryota; Ciliophora; Phyllopharyngea; Chlamydodontida; Chilodonellidae.
CUGCGGAAGGAUCAUUCACGCCAAUUAUUCUUCUUGCUAGAGAUUUCGGUCUCUAGCAGAAACCAAAAACUAAAAAAAAAUAAAAAAAUAAAAAAUUUUCAACGGUGGAUAUCUUGGUUCCCAUAUCGAGGAAGAACGCAGCUAACUGCGAUAAGCAAUGCGAAUUGCAGAAUCCGCGAGUCAUCAGAUUUUCGAACGCAGCCGGCGCCACGGGUCAAUUACCGGUGGCAAGUUUGCUUCAGUCUUAUUGAUUAUCACAAAUCAAAGUGUGAUUGAACCUUCGGGUUCUUUCAUUAAACUUGAAUACGACAUAUUUCAAUCCAACGAAGCAGUCACAGUCUCUGACUUGUGAUUUCGGUGGCUCUUGGACUAUGACCAGUAUAGAGACGCUAGUCUUUCAAAAUAAUCAUAAGCUGAAGUCAAGCUGGACUACCCGCUGAACUUAAGCAUAU